This 475-nucleotide ribosomal RNA is filed under the name uncultured bacterium. RNAcentral's name for it is "bacterial SSU rRNA". It matches the Rfam family "Bacterial small subunit ribosomal RNA", at positions 28 to 507 of the family's 1533-position model. The record is from RNAcentral.
GAUGAACGCUGGCGGCGUGCCUCAAACAUGCAAGUCGAGCGGGGCUAUGUAAUAUCGCAAGGUAGAACAUAGCCUAGCGGCGAACGGGUGAGUAGCACGUGGGUAACCUGCCUGGAAGACAGGGAUAACGAUUCGAAAGGGUCGCUAAUACCUGAUAAUAUCCUUUCAUCGCAUGGUGAUAGGAAGAAAGGGGAAACCCGCUUUCAGAUGGGCCCGCGUCCCAUCAGCUAGUUGGUAAGGUAAAGGCUUACCAAGGCGACGACGGGUAGCCGGUCUGAGAGGAUGUACGGCCACACUGGGACUGAGAUACGGCCCAGACUCCUACGGGAGGCAGCAGUUGGGAAUCUUAGGCAAUGGACGAAAGUCUGACCUAGCGACGCCGCGUGAGGGAAGAAGGCCUUCGGGUUGUAAACCUCUGUCAUGGGGGAAGAAGUAAGUGACGGUACCCCAAGAGGAAGCCCCUGCUAACUACGUG